AGUGAACGCUGGCGGUAGGCCUAACACAUGCAAGUCGAACGGCAGCACAGUAAGAGCUUGCUCUUACGGGUGGCGAGUGGCGGACGGGUGAGGAAUACAUCGGAAUCUACUUUUUCGUGGGGGAUAACGUAGGGAAACUUACGCUAAUACCGCAUACGACCUACGGGUGAAAGCAGGGGAUCUUCGGACCUUGCGCGAUUGAAUGAGCCGAUGUCGGAUUAGCUCGUUGGCGGGGUAAAGGCGCACCAAGGCGACGAUCCGUAGCUGGUCUGAGAGGAUGAUCCCCCACACUGUAACUGAGACACGGUCCAGACUCCUACGGGAGGCAGCAGUGGGGAAUAUUGGACAAUGGGCGCAAGCCUGAUCCAGCCAUACCGCGUGGGUGAAGAAGGCCUUCGGGUUGUAAAGCCCUUUUGUUGGGAAAGAAAAGCAGCAGGUUAAUACCCCGCUGUUCUGACGGUACCCAAAGAAUAAGCACCGGCUAACUUCGUG
This 492-nucleotide ribosomal RNA is filed under the name uncultured bacterium. Its description in RNAcentral is "partial 16S ribosomal RNA". It matches the Rfam family "Bacterial small subunit ribosomal RNA", at positions 29 to 507 of the family's 1533-position model. The record is from RNAcentral.